AGCAGUGAGGAAUAUUGGUCAAUAGCCUAACGGCUGAACCAGCAACUUGGAGGAAUGUAUAGCGAAAGCUAAUUGUAUUAGCAGGCAAUGGUUAAUACAAUAUCGACUAUGUCGACUAAAGUUCUAGGUAGAGUAAUGAUAAUGACAUUUUUUACCUAUGUGUCUUGACCAAGUCACGUGCCAGCAGUCGCGGUAAUACGUGGAAGACUAGUGUUAUUCAUCUUUAAUAGGUUUAAAGGGUACCCAGACGGUAUAUUUAGCCCAAAAAGGGUACUAAAUAAACUAGAGUUUAAUGUGAGGGGGUUAAUAGUACUAAUGGUGUAGAGAUGAAAUUCUGUCAUACCAUGAGGUUACUGGCAGCGGCGAAAGCAACCCUUUAUGCAAAAACUGACGUUGAAGGACGAAGGCUAGUGUAACCAAAAGGAUUAGAUACCCCAGCAGUGCUAGCAGACAACGCUGAAUGCCAUAGAUUAGAUUAUAUUUCUUCUAUAAAUGAAAGUGUAAGCAUUCCACCUCAAGAGUAAUUUGGCAACAUAGGAAUGAAAUCAUUAGACGUUUCUGAAACCAGGAGUGAAGUAUGUGUAUAACUAGACGAUCCGCAAAAAACCUUACCACAAUUUGAAUAUUUUUAUUUUUAUAAUUAUACAAGAGUUGCACGGCUGUCUUCAGUUAAUGUCGUGAGAUUCUGGUUAGUUCCAUUAAAUUAACGUAACCCUUACUUUAUUUUUAUAUAAAGUAGUUCACCGCUAUAUUGGAUAUGAUAGAAGGACUAAGACAAGUCAUCAUGGCCUGAUAGUUGUUGGUGGGGCUAUAAAC
Molecule: ribosomal RNA, 816 nt
Filed under: Umbilicaria arctica
Lineage: Eukaryota; Fungi; Ascomycota; Lecanoromycetes; Umbilicariales; Umbilicariaceae
Description: SSU rRNA
Rfam family: Bacterial small subunit ribosomal RNA
Source: RNAcentral